GAAGACAUUAGUAAAAUGUAAAUUAUUCCACCUUGUCAAGGUGAAGUUGUAGGUUAAACCCCUGCAUGUCUUA
This 73-nucleotide transfer RNA is filed under the name Ptychobarbus kaznakovi. RNAcentral's name for it is "tRNA-Asp". It matches the Rfam family "tRNA". From Rfam's summary of the family: Transfer RNA (tRNA) molecules are approximately 80 nucleotides in length. Their secondary structure includes four short double-helical elements and three loops (D, anti-codon, and T loops). The record is from RNAcentral. Lineage: Eukaryota; Metazoa; Chordata; Actinopteri; Cypriniformes; Cyprinidae.